Molecule: ribosomal RNA, 396 nt
Filed under: uncultured bacterium
Lineage: Bacteria
Description: bacterial SSU rRNA
Rfam family: Bacterial small subunit ribosomal RNA
Source: RNAcentral
GGAAUAUUGCACAAUGGGCGCAAGCCUGAUGCAGCGACGCCGCGUGGGUGAAGACGGUUUUCGGACUGUAAAGCCCUUUUCUGUGUGACGAGAGUGGACGGUAGCACAGGAAUAAGUCUCGGCUAACUACGUUCCAGCAGCCGCGGUAAAACGUAGGAGGCAAGCGUUAUCCGGAGUUACUGGGCGUAAAGCGCGUGCAGGUGGUUAAGUAAGUUGGUUAUGAAAGCUCCUGGCUAAACUGGGAGAGGUUGACCAAAACUGCUAAACUAGAGUGGAGAAGAGGUAAACGGAAUUCCGCGUGUAGUGGUGAAAUGCGUAGAGAUGCGGAAGAACACCAGUGGCGAAGGCGGUUUACUGGUCUCCAACUGACACUCAGACGCGAAAGCAUGGGUAGCG